Non-coding RNA from Malus domestica (apple), 3618 nucleotides. The record is from RefSeq and is a predicted model, not a curated record. NCBI's taxonomy places the organism in Eukaryota, Viridiplantae, Streptophyta, Magnoliopsida, Rosales, Rosaceae.
GCAAGAGAGAGAGGGAAAUGGAGGAUUGGGGGACAGAGAGUUGAUUGCGGGAUUGACAGAUUGAGGGAUUUUUCUGCUUUUCUGCUUUUCUACUUUUUGAAUCUUUACAAUUUUUCUUGUCAAUCGAUUCUGUCUUCUUCACUUUACCUUUCAAUUUGGUUUUGUCCUUCACAAAUCUCUGCUUCUGUCCGUCUUCAUUUCGCUCUCUUCGUCUCAAAUCAUGUGUUUUUUUUUUGCUUCACAGAAUAGUCACGAGCAAAUCAUGUUUUGGUUUAUUUAGAGAUUUUGUUUCCAGUCUCCAUUUGGUGCCUUACUCAGAUCGACUCUGCACUCAUCAUUGACGACUCCACCUUCACGAAGGACUCCACAAAUCCCAAGACCAAUAAAGGGGCUUCUCAAUCUGUUGUCUGGACUGAAGAAAAAGCGGAUAAAGCUCUCGAAAAUUUCAGAUAUGAGAAAAGACUAUGUCUACAUUGAAGUCCAAAUAAGAUGGAUCCGUGAAACUAUGAAAGCUAAUAUAUGAAUAACAUUUUUGGUAUGAAAGCCCUAAAAUUGAGACAAAAAAGGAAGGAUGGCAGACAUGAAGAGGGCUUUGGUGCGAGGAUAUGCUGUGACGGCUUUAAAUAAUGAUAGAGGUCAAAUAACCAUAUCGUUACUAUUAUUUUUUGUAAUUAUAUUUGUAUGAAUUUUUCAUUAAAAUUUUCGACAUAAUUUCACUAUAUAUUAUGAUAUCUAUUGUAUUUGUUGUAUAAGAUGUGGUUUGAGCAGUACUACUCAUAUUGUCCAAGUGCAUUUAGAAGGUUUUAGUGCACUUCAAGGGAUCUCGGGCUCACAGAAAUUUCUGAUGCACAAGGCGUAGAUCACUUGCCAUCUGCACAUACUUGGUAACUUCUACUCUAAUGUCAUUUUUUUUCUUGAAUAUGUUCUCUAUUAUCUGUUUGAGUUAUCAGUUGCCAUUUGAAACUACUUUUCAAAUAACUUUUAGCAUCCAAAUUAAGUUUAUCCAAUUGCGAGUGCGGAGCGCUUAUUAAAGAAAUUUACUAAAUCCGGUAUGAGAUGUGAAAAGAGGUACAUGGUCUUUGACUUCGUUUGUUGGUUUAAGUUGUUUACUGUGCAUUCCAUAUUAGUUCCAUUUAAAUUAUAUCAAUUACAGAUCAUAUGGGCAAAGGUUUCCUAAGUUGGUAAAUGGUUUUACCAAGUCUUCUUACUUAUAGGUAAUAAGUCAUUUAUUAUUGUUAUUGGAUUUGAUUUGAUUUGAUUCCAAUGGGUUGCACAUUUACAUUUUGGAUUGGAUUCCUUUGCUUUAUAGACAAUUUCUAAAUUUCCUUUUCUAUUUCUCUCCUAAUAAUGAGUUUUCUAGAAUUUUUAUAGGGAGAACUGCGUGUGUGCAAAAAUAUGGUGGAAGGAAUUGAUGGAUCUUAAUUUUAUUCUAAUUAUUUGUGAUUAAGCUGAUUAAGUGAUCAGACGUGUAAUACUUUGAUUUAUGCCAAUUAGGCUGAUGAUGGUGUUCUAAGAAUUGGAAAAAAUUGAUUAUUUCUCUUUUAAUUUCCUUUUUAUACAUAUUGAAAUAUUUAUUUAUAGAAAAAGUUUAUUGUUCAUUCUAUUUUAGUGAUUAGAAUCGUUUAACUUUUAGGUUUUUUCUAGAAAGAUAUAUGAUGACAAAGUGUGUCAAUAUAAUGGAAAUAAAGCGAAGAUUAUGGAGUCGAGUACCCAGAUGAAGAGAUUAAGGAAUGAGUUUUGGAUCCUAAUAAUAGCUGCUCUUUUCCUUGGAAUGGUCAAUGCUUUCGAUUUUUGGGUAGAGAAUUUUAAUGAAUUUAUAUGUUUUCCUCUGCUUUUCAGUGUUUUUAGGUGAUUAGAGCUAAACAUAGAGAAAGUUUUUGAGACUUUUAGACAUGUUGGACCUCUCAAGGUUGAUGUGGUAGGUAUUAUGGAGUUAUAUGUGCAGUGGUCAAAUUAUAUUUAUGUCUGUCGAAUUCAAUUUAUUACUGGUUAUGCUAUAACUUACUACUAUUAAUUUUUACUCAUUUUUUGAAAGAUAAACUGCGCAAAGAUUUGCUUGGCCACUUUGAUAAAUUGAAGUGAUUAGGAAUUAGGACUUGGUUAUAUCCAACAAUUCAUUGCCUAAAUACAGAAUUCAUAUAGAAAAUGCAAUCUAGAAAAUUCAUUCAUGUAUAGUGUAUAACUUGAAAUGCAAUCUAGAAGGGUAAAUCGAGUGACUUCUUCUUUGUUUUAAGUAUUGACAAAUGCUAUUGAGUAACUGUUCACAAACUAAUUAAUACAAAGUACUUUAAAAAGAGAGAACCAUGUUAUGCAAUGUGUAUAAUCAGUGUACGUAUAACACAGUAUGUGCGGGUGUGCGUGUGUGUGUGUGUGAGUAUAAUGUGUGUGAAUAUUUAAUUAGCUCGCAAAGUUUGUUUGUUCCUGUGAAUUUUAAUUGUACUAAGCAUGUCAAAUUGCUAUGGAUUUGCUUUGUUUGUGAAUUUUAGAAAUUUGGAACGUUGGAGGGAGCAAUUGGGUCGUUGGUUUUUUGAGAUAUAUUCAAUUACAGUAAUUUUGUUACUAUAUUGUUGAAUUUUUAUUACUAGAGAAUUAUGAUUUUGUUACCGUUAUUUUUGGGUUUUCUCCUAUGUGAAAUAGAGAAUUGGGCCUCAAAUUUUUAGGGCAUUCUCUAAUUUUUGUGAUAUUUGCUGUGUAUUUUGGGGCAUGCUUUAAUUUUUGUGAUGUGAAAUCCCUGUAAGCGCCUCUAAACAUUGAUCAUUUGUUUUGUUGAUUAGUCUUAACGCCAAUACCUUAUCCUAAGCUAGGCAUCACAACAUCUGUAAUUCCUUAAUUCAUUUAUGAGAGCAUAUUCGUACUGCUGUGCUAUCGUUAUUAUUUAAUACACUGCUUAAUUCGAAUUUUGAUAUAAGUUUUCAUUAGAAUUUAGAACCUUUGUUAUGAUCAAUAAUGUAUUGUUUUUUGAAACGAAAUGAUGUAUUGUUUUGGUCGAUGAUGUAUUGUUAUGAUCAUUAGAAUUUCAUAUACACCUGUGAUUUAAAUACCAUUGAAUAUUUAAUAUGCAUUUGCAAUUAUUUUGGUAAAGAAAUUGAAAAGGAAUGUAAAGGUCUAUUCCUUUUGAGCUGGGUUGCUUGCCCCUCAUUAUCAUUUUCUUAGAUUCUAACUUGCAUUAGUUAUUGGAUCACCCAAUACGUCAAAACGAUCACUUUCUAUAUCACGUGUUAGUUUAUUCACUUUGUGGAUAGCUUCUCUCUCCAAUCUAUAUGCUCAACUUGGAAUCAACAUUUUUGGUAUGCAAGAUUUCUGAUAUGCUUCAACUUCAGGUACUCAUGAUGUGGAUGCAAAGAAUAUUAAAAUGAGCAUGUUUAGCUGCCAAAAAAAAAAAACAAUGACAGGGAUUAUGAAGGGAGAGGAAGAGGAGGGAGAUGACGAGUAAGUAGUUGUUUUGGAAUAAGUUGCAGUUGUAGAACUUAGAAAUGAAUUUGGAGACCGGAUGUAUAUUUAUACUCAAGUGUAGUUUUUGCCUUUCAUUUUUUCAAUUUGUUCUGUUAAUGGUUAAGAAGACAUGAAUCACAUGUAUGUAAAUAUUGCAUAUCGUAUAUAUACGUGAAACUUUUGACA